RNAcentral lists this transfer RNA (96 nucleotides) under Magnaporthiopsis poae ATCC 64411. Its description in RNAcentral is "Magnaporthe poae ATCC 64411 tRNA-Ala for anticodon UGC". It matches the Rfam family "tRNA". From Rfam's summary of the family: Transfer RNA (tRNA) molecules are approximately 80 nucleotides in length. Their secondary structure includes four short double-helical elements and three loops (D, anti-codon, and T loops). Further hydrogen bonds mediate the characteristic L-shaped molecular structure. tRNAs have two regions of fundamental functional importance: the anti-codon, which is responsible for specific mRNA codon recognition, and the 3' end, to which the tRNAs corresponding amino acid is attached (by aminoacyl-tRNA synthetases). tRNAs cope with the degeneracy of the genetic code in two manners: having more than one tRNA (with a specific anti-codon) for a particular amino acid; and 'wobble' base-pairing, i.e. permitting non-standard base-pairing at the 3rd anti-codon position. The record is from Rfam by way of RNAcentral. Lineage: Eukaryota; Fungi; Ascomycota; Sordariomycetes; Magnaporthales; Magnaporthaceae.
GGGCGUAUGGUGUAGUGGGAGCACGUUCGCUUUGCAAUGCAUACAAACGCAUUACAAGCCUGCGAAAGGUCCGGGGUUCGAUCCCCCGUUCGUCCA